CCUACGGGAGGCAGCAGUAGGGAAUAUUGGGCAAUGGGCGCGAGCCUGACCCAGCCAUGCCGCGUGCCGGAUGAAGGCCUUCUGGGUUGUAAACGGCUUUUCUCAGGGAAGAAAAAGGUGAUGCGUCACAAACUGACGGUACCUGAGGAAUAAGCACCGGCUAACUCCGUGCCAGCAGCCGCGGUAAUACGGAGGGUGCAAGCGUUGUCCGGAUUUAUUGGGUUUAAAGGGUGCGUAGGUGGCCCGUUAAGUCCGGGGUGAAAGCCCACAGCUCAACUGUGGAACUGCCCUGGAUACUGGCGGGCUUGAGUCCAGACGAGGUUGGCGGAAUGGAAGAUGUAGCGGUGAAAUGCAUAGAUAUCUUCCAGAACCCCGAUUGCGUAGGCAGCUGACUAGGCUGGUACUGACACUGAGGCACGAAAGCGUGGGGAGCGAACAGGAUUAGAUACCCUGGUAGUCCACGCCGUAAACGAUGGAUACUCGCUGGUGGCGAUAGACAGUCACUGGCUUAGCGAAAGCGGUAAGUAUCCCACCUGGGGAGUACGCUCGCAAGAGUGAACUCAAAUGAAUUGACGGCGUGAGAGUGCGACGGACGACGACGAGGGAGGAGG
RNAcentral lists this ribosomal RNA (611 nucleotides) under uncultured bacterium. RNAcentral's name for it is "bacterial SSU rRNA". It matches the Rfam family "Bacterial small subunit ribosomal RNA", at positions 338 to 954 of the family's 1533-position model. The record is from RNAcentral.